UACAGAGGUCUCAAGCGUUGUUCGGAUUCAUUGGGCGUAAAGGUUGCGUAGGCGGCGCGGUAAGUCUGGUGUGAAAUCUCGGAGCUUAACUCCGAAACUGCAUUCGAUACUGCCGUGCUUGAGGACUGGAGAGGAGACUGGAAUUUACGGUGUAGCGGUGAAAUGCGUAGAUAUCGUAAGGAAGACCAGUGGCGAAGGCGGGUCUCUGGACAGUUCCUGACGCUGAGGCACGAAGGUCAGGGGAGCAAACGGG
RNAcentral lists this ribosomal RNA (253 nucleotides) under uncultured bacterium. RNAcentral describes it as "partial 16S ribosomal RNA". It matches the Rfam family "Bacterial small subunit ribosomal RNA", at positions 524 to 776 of the family's 1533-position model. The record is from RNAcentral.